This 253-nucleotide ribosomal RNA is filed under the name uncultured Eubacteriales bacterium. RNAcentral describes it as "uncultured Clostridiales bacterium partial 16S ribosomal RNA". It matches the Rfam family "Bacterial small subunit ribosomal RNA", at positions 524 to 776 of the family's 1533-position model. The record is from RNAcentral. Lineage: Bacteria; Bacillati; Bacillota; Clostridia; Eubacteriales.
UACGUAGGGGGCAAGCGUUAUCCGGAUUUACUGGGUGUAAAGGGUGCGUAGACGGGAAAAUAAGUUAGUUGUGAAAUCCCUCGGCUCAACUGAGGAACUGCAACUAAAACUAUUUUUCUUGAGUGCAGGAGAGGAAAGUGGAAUUCCUAGUGUAGCGGUGAAAUGCGUAGAUAUUAGGAGGAACACCGGUGGCGAAGGCGGCUUACUGGACUGUAACUGACGUUGAGGCUCGAAAGCGUGGGGAGCAAACAGG